CCCCUAGAUGUUCUGGGCCGCACGCGCGCUACACUGAACAGUUCAACAAGUCUUAACCUUGGCCGAUAGGUCUGGGUAAUCUUUGAACGCUGUUCGUGAUUGGGAUAGACCUUUGCAAUUAUGGGUCUUCAACGAGGAAUUCCUAGUAAACGCAAGUCAUCAGCUUGCAUUGAUUACGUCCCUGCCCUUUGUACACACCGCCCGUCGCACCUACCGAUUGAAUGGUCCGGUGAAAUCUCGGGACGGCGGCUUGGUCGCUUGCGUCCGACUGCUGAAGCUUGAUUAAACCAUAUCAUUUAGAGGAAGGUGAANUCGUAACA
Molecule: ribosomal RNA, 320 nt
Filed under: uncultured eukaryote
Lineage: Eukaryota
Description: partial 18S ribosomal RNA
Rfam family: Eukaryotic small subunit ribosomal RNA
Source: RNAcentral